Molecule: long non-coding RNA, 833 nt
Filed under: Oryctolagus cuniculus (rabbit)
Lineage: Eukaryota; Metazoa; Chordata; Mammalia; Lagomorpha; Leporidae
Description: lncRNA (ENSOCUG00000031097.1)
Source: RNAcentral
GGUCGGGGUGCCGGAGCCGCUUUACUCGGGGUCGGGGUCGGGGUGCCGGAGCCGCUUUACUCGGGGUCAGGGUCAGGGUGCUGGAGCCGCUUUACUCGGGGUCGGGGUCGGGGUGCCGGAGCCGCUUUACUCGGGGUCGGGGUCGGGGUGCCGGAGCCGCUUUACUCGGGGUCGGGGUCGGGGUGCUGGAGCCCCUCCCGUGGGGUCAGGGUCGGGGUCGGGGUGCUGGAGCCCCUCCCGCGGGGUCAGGGUCGGGGUCGGGGUGAUGGAGCUCCCUCGUGGGGCCGGGGUCAGGGUCGGGGUGCCGGAGCCGCUUUACUCGGGGUUGGGAUGAUGGAGCCCCUCCCGCAGGGUCAGGGUCUGGGUCGGGGUGCCGGAGCCCUCCUUCGUGGGGUUGGGGUCGGGGUGGCCUGCGUCUGAGGGGCGAGGCUGGGGUCCGGAGUCCGGGUGGCCUGCGUCCGCGGGGCGAGGCCGGGGUCCGGCUCCAGGUGGCCGGUGUCCGAGGAGCGAGGUUGGGGUCCGGGUCCGGGGUCCGGGCGGCCUGCGUCUGCGGGGCGAGGCUGGGGUCCGGCUCCGGGGUUCGGGCGGCCUGCGUCCGCGGGGCAAGGCUGGGGUCCGGGUCCGGGAGGCCUGCGUCCGCGGGGCGAGGCCGGGGUCCGGCUCCGGGAGGCCCGCGUCCGAGGGGCGAGGCCGGGGUCCGGGGUCCGGCUCCGGGUGGCUGCGUCCGAGGGGCGAGGCUGGGGUCUGGGGUCCGGGGUUCAGGCGGCCUGCGUCCGAGGGGCGAGGCGCGAGGCCGGGGUCCGGCUCCGGGUGCCUGCGUCUGAGGGCGAGGC